GCAGUCGAACGGUGAAGGUGGAGCUUGCUCUGCUGGAUCAGUGGCGAACGGGUGAGUAACACGUGAGCAAUCUGCCCCGAACUCUGGGAUAACCACGGGAAACCGUGGCUAAUACUGGAUAUGUACCGCGAUCGCAUGGUCUGUGGUUGGAAAGAUUUUUCGGUUCGGGAUGAGCUCGCGGCCUAUCAGCUUGUUGGUGAGGUAAUGGCUCACCAAGGCGACGACGGGUAGCCGGCCUGAGAGGGUGACCGGCCACACUGGGACUGAGACACGGCCCAGACUCCUACGGGAGGCAGCAGUGGGGAAUAUUGCACAAUGGGCGCAAGCCUGAUGCAGCAACGCCGCGUGAGGGAUGACGGCCUUCGGGUUGUAAACCUCUUUUAGUAGGGAAGAAGCGACACUGACGGUACCUGCAGAAAAAGCACCGGCUACCUACGUGCCAGCAGCCGCGGUAAUACGUAGGGUGCAAGCAUUGUCCGGAAUUAUUGGGCGUAAAGAGCUCGUAGGCGGUUUGUCGCGUCUGCUGUGAAAUCCCGAGGCUCAACCUCGGGCCUGCAGUGGGUACGGGCACACUAGAGUGCGGUAGGGGAGAAUGGAACUCCUGGUGUAGCGGUGGAAUGCGCAGAUAUCAGGAAGAACACCGAUGGCGAAGGCAGUUCUCUGGGCCGUAACUGACG
Molecule: ribosomal RNA, 677 nt
Filed under: Herbiconiux sp. 4a
Lineage: Bacteria; Bacillati; Actinomycetota; Actinomycetes; Micrococcales; Microbacteriaceae
Description: bacterial SSU rRNA
Rfam family: Bacterial small subunit ribosomal RNA
Source: RNAcentral